This 490-nucleotide ribosomal RNA is filed under the name uncultured bacterium. Its description in RNAcentral is "partial 16S ribosomal RNA". It matches the Rfam family "Bacterial small subunit ribosomal RNA", at positions 30 to 507 of the family's 1533-position model. The record is from RNAcentral.
AUUGAACGCUGGCGGCAGGCCUAACACAUGCAAGUCGAACGGUAACAGGGAUCAGCUUGCUGAUUCGCUGACGAGUGGCGGACGGGUGAGUAAUGCCUGGGAAACUGCCUGAUGGAGGGGGAUAACUACUGGAAACGGUAGCUAAUACCGCAUAACGUCGCAAGACCAAAGAGGGGGACCUUCGGGCCUCUUGCCAUCGGAUGUGCCCAGAUGGGAUUAGCUAGUAGGUGGGGUAACGGCUCACCUAGGCGACGAUCCCUAGCUGGUCUGAGAGGAUGACCAGCCACACUGGAACUGAGACACGGUCCAGACUCCUACGGGAGGCAGCAGUGGGGAAUAUUGCACAAUGGGCGCAAGCCUGAUGCAGCCAUGCCGCGUGUAUGAAGAAGGCCUUCGGGUUGUAAAGUACUUUCAGCGGGGAGGAAGGGAGUAAAGUUAAUACCUUUGCUCAUUGACGUUACCCGCAGAAGAAGCACCGGCUAACUCCGUG